AACGCACAUUGCGCCCCGUGGUAUUCCGCGGGGCAUGCCUGUUCGAGCGUCAUUUCAACCCAUCAAGCUUCGGCUUGGUCUUGGGGCCUGCGGUUUCGCAGCCUCUAAACUCAGUGGCGGUGCUUCUGAGCUCUGAGCGUAGUAAUUUUUUCUCGCUAUAGGGUCUCGGAGGUUACUUGCCAACAACCCCCAAUUUUUAUCAGGUUGACCUCGGAUCAGGUAGGGAUACCCGCUGAACUUAA
RNAcentral lists this unclassified non-coding RNA (242 nucleotides) under uncultured fungus. Its description in RNAcentral is "partial contains 5.8S ribosomal RNA, internal transcribed spacer 2, and large subunit ribosomal RNA". The stretch from base 1 to 52 matches the Rfam family "5.8S ribosomal RNA", at positions 103 to 154 of the family's 154-position model. Lineage: Eukaryota; Fungi. The record is from RNAcentral.